RNAcentral lists this long non-coding RNA (2519 nucleotides) under Salmo salar (Atlantic salmon). RNAcentral's name for it is "lncRNA (ENSSSAG00000099480.1)". Lineage: Eukaryota; Metazoa; Chordata; Actinopteri; Salmoniformes; Salmonidae. The record is from RNAcentral.
ACUCCUCACAAUAACCGUAUCCCAUUCAGAGACACCACAGCUCUCUGUGAGGGAUAAAUAAGAUUUAGCUGGCAGAGCUAGAUAAUGAUCCACUCAGCAUGAGAGCUCAGUGCUCCUCAUCUCCAUCUCAUCUCCUGCCUCUCUCACUGUGCUGCUGUGACGUCAGUAUUGUACUUCACUAAUGAAGAGGACUUCAGUAAAGAUCUAUACUAGAACAUUCUCACAACAGGCAUAUUCUUGCUCUAGGGGGGGUUUUCAUAUCAAAGCACAGAUAAACGGAUAAAUCCAAGUGUGUGUGUGACUAACUGUGUGUGUGAGAUUCAAAGAGCUGAGCAGGCAGCCUAUGUCUUUGGUGUACUAUUGCUUUCAUUUAAGCCCGGGAGAGAGAAGCUAGCCUGCCCGGGAGAGAGAAGCUAGCCUGCCCGGGAGAGAGAAGCUAGCCUGCCCGGGAGAGAGAAGAUAGCCUGCCCCCCUGAGGCAUGUGACAACACAAUGGUUUAAUGAUCUGUGUCUGUUCUGCUGCUGCUAGUUUGUGAGACUGCUGCAGCACAGAGUGCUGAAUACAGGCAGUCAAGCUGGCCUGGCCAGUAGAAAUACACUGUAAGUCAGUGUUUCUCAGAGUGCUGAAUACAGGCAGGCAGCAGAUUCUCUGGCCUGGCCAGGAGAAAUACACUGUAAGUCAGUGUUUCUCAGAGUGCUGAAUACAGGCAGUUCAGCAAGCAGCAGAUUCUCUGGCCUGGCCAGGAGAAAUACACUGUAAGUCAGUGUUUCUCAGAGUGCUGAAUACAGGCAGGCAGCAAGCAGCAGAUUCUCUGGCCUGGCCAGUAGAAAUACACUGUAAGUCAGUGUUUCUCAGAGUGCUGAAUACAGGCAGGCAGCAGAUUCUCUGGCCUGGCCAGGAGAGAUACAUUAUGUCAGUGUUUCUCAGAGUGCUGAAUACAGGCAGGCAGCAGAUUCUCUGGCCUGGCCAGGAGAGAUACAUUAUGUCAGUGUUUCUCAGCCUGUUCCUCUGGGAGUGGGAGAUCCCUAGUUGUUCCACCACUAGUCAACUAGCCCAAUGCUCAAGCCCUUGACUAGUUGUGUGACGUGAGCUAGCUAGGUCAAAAAUGUGGAGCGGCAGGAUGUUUCCAAGGAACACAGAUGAAAUGGAGAAACCCACUGCUACAUAGACCUAACAGGAAUGUGGUGGUCGCCCCAGCAGUGCUGUCCCAUCCAGUCACGUAGACCUGAGUUGAGGAGAAACACCCUGAAAGUGAUCUGUAAGGCAAGCCUUCCUGGCCUGCUGGGGCCUCAGUCAGUGGAAUGGCAGAAGUGUGCUUUACUGCCUUCCUUGGAGAUGACCUGAGGUCAGGUCUAACUGUAGCGGAUGAACAGAGGUCAGGUCUAACUGUAGCGGAUGAACAGAGGUCAGGUCUAACUGUAGCGGAUGAACAGAGGUCAGGUCUAACUGUAGCGGAUGAACAGAGGUCAGGUCUAACUGUAGCGGAUGAACAGAGGUCAGGUCUAACUGUAGCGGAUGAACAGAGGUCAGGUCUAACUGUAGCGGAUGAACAGAGGUCAGGUCUAACUGUAGCGGAUGAACAGAGGGUCAGGUCUAACUGUAGCGGAUGAACAGAGGUCAGGUCCAACUGUAGCGGAUGAACAGAGGUCAGGUCCAACUGUAGCGGAUGAACAGAGGUCAGGUCCAACUGUAGCGGAUGAACAGAGGUCAGGUCCAACUGUAGCGGAUGAACAGAGAGUCAGGUCCAACUGUAGCGGAUGAACAGAGAGUCAGGUCCAACUGUAGCGGAUGAACAGAGAGUCAGGUCCAACUGUAGCGGAUGAACAGAGGUCAGGUCUAACUGUAGCGGAUGAACAGAGGUCAGGUCUAACUGGAGCGGAUGAACAGAGGUCAGGUCCAACUGUAGCGGAUGAACAGAGGUCAGGUCCAACUGUAGCGGAUGAACAGAGGGUCAGGUCUAACUGUAGCGGAUGAACAGAGGUCAGGUCUAACUGUAGCGGAUGAACAGAGGUCAGGUCCAACUGGAGCGGAUGAACAGAGGUCAGGUCUAACUGGAGCGGAUGAACAGACAUGGUUGGAUUUCCUGUUCAGACUACUGGUUGUUUCCUUGUCUUCUGCACCUGUUUUGGUCAAUAGUGAACAUACUCUCCCCCCCCCCACACACUCACACACACACACACUCCCCCACACACACACACUCCCCCACCACACACACAGCGUUAAUCCCUGGCUUCUGAUCUGCGUGUAGUCUUUCAUGUAAAGCCAGCCCUGUGAUGCCUGGUAACCCGAUACAGCCGCUAUUGAUGGUGAUGCUGUUGAUAUUCAGGAGAGGAGAGCAGCCUGCCAUGUUGCUCUCCCUGGUUGGUCCUGGGAUGCUGCUGUGUGGUCUGGGCUGAUAGGUGGAAGGCCCAUUAUCAAAAAUAUUGUUUGGCUUUGGAUGAUUUAAACAGUCUGGGCCUGGGCUAUAGGGCCUGGGCUAUAGGGCCUGGGCUAUAGGGCCUGGGCUAUAGGGCCUGGG